AAAGUCGUAACAAGGUCUCCGUUGGUGAACCAGCGGAGGGAUCAUUACAGAGAACUGAAAACCUCUAAACCCAUGUGAACAUACCAUUUGUUGCCUCGGUCGUGAUGCUGGGGGCGACUCUCAGAAGGGCCUACCCGGUGGGUCUUACCCUGUAAGACCUAACCUGUAGCGCCUCCCCUGUAGAGGCCAUCUCCCAGCCAGCGGCCGAAGGACCCAAAACUCUUCUUACCGUGGCACUCUGAGUAGUUACACAAUGAGUUAAAACUUUCAACAACGGAUCUCUUGGUUCUG
This 291-nucleotide unclassified non-coding RNA is filed under the name Ascomycota sp. Its description in RNAcentral is "partial contains small subunit ribosomal RNA, internal transcribed spacer 1, and 5.8S ribosomal RNA". The stretch from base 1 to 47 matches the Rfam family "Eukaryotic small subunit ribosomal RNA", at positions 1785 to 1831 of the family's 1831-position model. The record is from RNAcentral. Lineage: Eukaryota; Fungi; Ascomycota.